Molecule: transfer RNA, 56 nt
Filed under: Achilidae gen. 1 sp. n. 1 SX-2018
Lineage: Eukaryota; Metazoa; Arthropoda; Insecta; Hemiptera; Achilidae
Description: tRNA-Ser
Source: RNAcentral
GGAACAUAUUUAAGAAAGCCGCUAACUGUCUACAAGUGUAAUAACACUAUGUCCCU